RNAcentral lists this non-coding RNA (85 nucleotides) under human gut metagenome. Its description in RNAcentral is "Glycine riboswitch". It matches the Rfam family "Glycine riboswitch aptamer", at positions 8 to 87 of the family's 94-position model. From Rfam's summary of the family: This family represents the bacterial glycine riboswitch. Glycine riboswitches usually consist of two metabolite-binding aptamers domains with similar structures in tandem. The record is from RNAcentral. RNAcentral also lists the same sequence under 1 other name.
ACACACCUCUGGAAAGCCGUUUGAUCGGCGCCGACGAAGCAAAGCCUGGCACACAGGCAAAUCUUUCAGGCAAACAGACAGAGGC